GAAAAAAAUGUAUUUAAAAAAAAAUGGAACCCAAACCGGGCAUAGUUUUUUAUUUUCUUUAUUUGGAUCUAUUUUAUUUUUUCGACGUAAAAGAAUAUUUGGUAUAAAUUAAGAUUUAUGUCAAUUUGAAUCUAACACCCUUCCUUUCUCUUCAAUAUAGCUUUUGGCGACUAGAGAAAUUAUAUCUUCUUAAACAAUAUUAAUAUUCUCCUUUUAAAUUGAGAGUCUCAUUAUAUAUUCGAUAUUUAUUUAUUUAUCUUGGUCAAAUCUCUUAAAAAAUUAAAUUUACAUGAAAUUAUUUUGAAGUUUAGUGACCACUCAAAAACAUUUUAAAGUUCAACGAAUAACGCGUAACGAACAUAUAAGUUCAAUAACUAAUGAACAUAAUGAAUAUGAGUGAUGAAGUGCAACGUGUAAAAAUUCAGAUCAUGAGUAAGUGAUAAAGUGUAAUGUGUUAAAGUUCAGUGAUUACUCAAGUAUAAUUUAAAGUUCAGGGAAUAAAAUGUGCCAAAAGUAUAAAUUCAAUGACAAAUAAAAUAUGUAACUCAAUUUCUUCUUCUCUGAGCACUAUUAUGCAAAAAACCGUGGGUUGUUUUUAUUUAUUAUUAGAUUUAAAUUAGCCACAUCUUAUACUAGCUUCAUCCAUACUACAAUAUCAAUCUAAGCACGAUAUAUUAAAUUUAAUUAAAAAUAAAAGCACGUCAGUAUGAUGUCAUUUAAACUUGUGUUGUAACACUGUUAAAUAGAUUAUUCUUUUUACGCAAUAUGUUACUCUAGAGAUCAAUUUUAGUUGUUUGGACACAUUUUAUCCAUGUAGUUUAUUUUUCUCUUAACAGAAGCGAAACUCGAAAAUUACAAAAUAAUUGUGCUCGGUGUACAAUUACUGCUAGUGAUUUCGAGCUAACUGCAAAUUGGAAUGUAUACAAAUGAACAUUUUGUUUGAAGCCCAGAAAAAGAAAACAAUUAAUCAGGGGAAUUUGGAGUUUAGAACUAUGUACAUGAUCAACUCAUAGAUCUGAAAUACAUGAUUUGUAAAGAUACAUAUUGCACUGGAUAAAAGGGGAUUGGACUAGAAUUUACAAUUUUUGAUAGCCUACCAUUCCCAGCAGAAACCUCAUUUUCACUCUUCAAUUACCAGUUACACAUUUCCACAACAUCCUGAAGCCUCCUCUCCAGCGCGGCAGCGGAGGAAUCCACGGCUGCAGACUCUUUGACUUGUGACGAUUCUCGUCGGAAUACGGUUUCGAAACGGGAAACGCACUUUGCGAUUGACUCUUUCGCUUGAAAACCAGAUGCAGAAGGCGAGGAUGAACAAUUGGAAAUACGCGACGACGUUGGUCUGGUGUGGUGCCCUAAUAUGAGCAUUGCUGCUGUUGGUGCCAUGCCUUGGUGGAAUCCAGAUGAAUUAUUUGAAGCAAAUUUUGUUGAAGAUGAAGAACGAUGUGUUUGUGGUGGUGAGAGUUUUAAUUUGCGAUGAAGGAAACAAACUGUGGGCUCUGCUGUUGGUUUUGAGUUUUGGAGUCUGAUCCCAAUCUACUGACUUUUGUUAAAUCAGGUAAAUUCACAUUAAUUUAUUUUACUUUAGUUACAUCAUUCAAUUUUACCACUUAAAUUGACAGAAAAUAACGAUGAUGGUCGUCUCGCAUCGGCCCGGUUUCAUGUGAUGAACAUCAUUUAUUGAUCAAUACGGCACAAUUUUUGUUGAUGAAGUUGAAAGAAAUAACCUUAAUUGAAAUCAAAUUAAGGACUUAUCUGCUGCGGCUUCUAAACGGAAAAAAGUAAAUUCUUUUUAAGCCCUUUUUGGUCAGUUGGGACCUACAUGUGAGAGUUGCAGUCAAAAAGGCAGGCUGCCAACAGUAAAAUUUACCCAAAAAAUCAGCUCCAAACAGGGACUAAAAUAUAUUUACUUGAUUAAAAUCAAAUAAAAGCACACUUAUCUACUAAACAUUAGAGCAAAGUUUCACGAGUAAAAUUUAACCUGCAUUUUGUGCAUCGCACAUGUCAUUUUAACAGUCUUCAACGGGUUGGUAUUAAUCACUUUUCAGGGACUAGAGUGCAACAUAUGUCAAAUUUACGAGAUGUAAAUAUUGCUUAUUAAAAGUUAUGAACCAAAGUGUAACAUAAGGUAAAAAUUGGGGAUAUCUACUGCUAUCUUGACUUGAUUGUGACUGCGAAAUGAGAAGUUAUUGGCGCAGGAUAGCGACGUAAUGCUUAUCCUUCUUGGCUAGUUUUGAGUUUAGCCUACAUGUCACCAUGUCCUAUUUAAUAGACGUCCCGUCAUUUUAACAACGAUCAUAACUAUUAAGCGCAUAGGACUUUUUUCUCUCUAGUUUUAUCUAGUUGAAUAUGA
RNAcentral lists this long non-coding RNA (2350 nucleotides) under Olea europaea (common olive). RNAcentral's name for it is "long non-coding RNA (OEUR_LNC006512)". The record is from RNAcentral. Lineage: Eukaryota; Viridiplantae; Streptophyta; Magnoliopsida; Lamiales; Oleaceae.